This 358-nucleotide long non-coding RNA is filed under the name Felis catus (domestic cat). RNAcentral's name for it is "lncRNA (ENSFCAG00000047969.1)". The record is from RNAcentral. Lineage: Eukaryota; Metazoa; Chordata; Mammalia; Carnivora; Felidae.
CGCAUGUAGUAAUUUUCAGUUAUGAUUAUUACAGAAACCUGUAUUUCCGCCUUUGUGACAAUUCAUGUGCAACACAUAUAUCUAGAUGGAAUGCAUGGACACACACUUUCAUUCUAAUUGCUUUUCCAAAUGCAAAAGAGUCCCAUGAAAUAAAUCAGACUCAGAUCUGGGCGGAAGAUCUCCUUUACACCACACCUUGUGAGGUAGAACUUCCAUUACAGCAAAACCUGAGGAAAUCCAGGCCGCAAGUGAAGGUAUAUGUCAAAAGUAACUUGGCUCGUAAGUGGCUGAGACAGUAUCUCAACUGAAGUGUACCAGACCUCAGAGCUGAUGCUCUUUUUCCACUAUUCAUGAUGCC